UACGUAGGGGGCUAGCGUUGUCCGGAUUUAUUGGGCGUAAAGAGCGUGUAGGCGGCCAGGUAGGUCUGGUGUGAAAACUCGAGGCUUAACCUCGAGAUGUCAUCGGAAACCAUCUGGCUAGAGUCCGGAAGAGGAGAGUGGAAUUCCUGGUGUAGCGGUGAAAUGCGCCGAUAUCAGGAAGAACACCAAUGGCGAAAGCAGCUCCCUGGGACGGUACUGACGCUGAGACGCGAAAGCGUGGGGAGCGAACAGG
RNAcentral lists this ribosomal RNA (253 nucleotides) under uncultured bacterium. Its description in RNAcentral is "partial 16S ribosomal RNA". It matches the Rfam family "Bacterial small subunit ribosomal RNA", at positions 524 to 776 of the family's 1533-position model. The record is from RNAcentral.